CGGGUCUGGCCUUAGUACGAGAGGACCGGGCUGGACCGACCUCUGGUGAACCAGUUGUGCCGCCAGGUGCAUUGCUGGGUAGCUACGUCGGGUCGGGAUAAGCGCUGAAAGCAUCUAAGUGCGAAACCCGCCGCGAGAUAAGGCUUCCUUAUAGGGCCGUGGCAGACUACCACGUCGAUAGGCCGCAGGUGUAAAGGCAGAGAUGCCAAAGCCGAGCGGUACUAAUAGCCCGAAGCUUUCCAUGCC
This 246-nucleotide ribosomal RNA is filed under the name Parapedobacter sp. SGR-10. RNAcentral describes it as "partial 23S ribosomal RNA". It matches the Rfam family "Bacterial large subunit ribosomal RNA", at positions 2667 to 2925 of the family's 2925-position model. The record is from RNAcentral. Lineage: Bacteria; Pseudomonadati; Bacteroidota; Sphingobacteriia; Sphingobacteriales; Sphingobacteriaceae.